AUUGAACGCUGGCGGCAUGCUUUACACAUGCAAGUCGAACGGCAGCGCGGGCUUCGGCCUGGCGGCGAGUGGCGAACGGGUGAGUAAUACAUCGGAACGUGCCCAGUAGUGGGGGAUAGCUCGGCGAAAGCCGGAUUAAUACCGCAUACGACCUGAGGGUGAAAGCGGGGGAUCUUCGGACCUCGCGCUAUUGGAGCGGCCGAUGGCAGAUUAGCUAGUUGGUGGGGUAAAGGCCUACCAAGGCGACGAUCUGUAGCUGGUCUGAGAGGACGACCAGCCACACUGGGACUGAGACACGGCCCAGACUCCUACGGGAGGCAGCAGUGGGGAAAUUUGGACAAUGGGCGAAAGCCUGAUCCAGCAAUGCCGCGUGUGUGAUGAAGGCCUUCGGGUUGUAAAGCACUUUUGGCGGGAACGAAAAGGACUGUGCCAAUACCACGGUUCGAUGACGGUACCCGCAGAAUAAGCACCGGCUGACUACGUG
RNAcentral lists this ribosomal RNA (484 nucleotides) under uncultured bacterium. RNAcentral's name for it is "partial 16S ribosomal RNA". It matches the Rfam family "Bacterial small subunit ribosomal RNA", at positions 29 to 507 of the family's 1533-position model. The record is from RNAcentral.